CGCAUGCGCAAUAUAACCUGGAGUCAAACAGAAAGUGCAAUUUACGCAGGAAUGGGAUCGUCUAGUAGCAAACAAAAUUGGGCCGGUCGGGUCUCAUAUUACCCGGAGGUUGACAAAAAUGCAAAUGGUUUGAUUGCCACGAGUCGCACUAUACUGAACGAAAAAGAAAUAAUGGAAGACUCGAGAGAGAGCAUACUACUAGUCCAAUCCUACAAAGUUCCGCUUAACAAUAUCCCAGGAAUAUGGUGGUGGUUUUAUCACAGAUUUGUCGUAUUUAAAACGAAUAGUUGGUGGUGGUCCAUAGAGAAGAAUGAUACAGAAAUAAUCAUACAAAGAAGCAAGAAUGAAUCAGCAGUUAGAGACAACAUUCUGGGCCAAAA
Mercenaria mercenaria is the source of this 380-nucleotide long non-coding RNA. RefSeq lists it as uncharacterized. Lineage: Eukaryota; Metazoa; Mollusca; Bivalvia; Venerida; Veneridae. The record is from RefSeq and is a predicted model, not a curated record. The transcript is spliced from 2 exons.